Molecule: ribosomal RNA, 431 nt
Filed under: uncultured bacterium
Lineage: Bacteria
Description: partial 16S ribosomal RNA
Rfam family: Bacterial small subunit ribosomal RNA
Source: RNAcentral
UGGGGAAUAUUGCACAAUGGGCGCAAGCCUGAUGCAGCCAUGCCGCGUGUGUGAAGAAGGCCUUCGGGUUGUAAAGCACUUUCAGCGAGGAGGAAGGUGGUGAGCUUAAUACGCUCAUCAAUUGACGUUACUCGCAGAAGAAGCACCGGCUAACUCCGUGCCAGCAGCCGCGGUAAUACGGAGGGUGCAAGCGUUAAUCGAAAUUACUGGGCGUAAAGCGCACGCAGGCGGUUUGUUAAGUCAGAUGUGAAAUCCCCCGGGCUCAACCUGGGAACUGCAUUUGAAACUGGCAAGCUAGAGUCUCGUAGAGGGGGGCUAGAAUUCCAGGUGUAGCGGUGAAAUGCGUAGAGAUCUGGAGGAAUACCGGUGGCGAAGGCGGCCCCCCUGGACGAAGACUGACGCUCAGGUGCGAAAGCGUGGGGCAGCAAACA